Molecule: transfer RNA, 69 nt
Filed under: Pattonomys punctatus (Orinocan speckled tree-rat)
Lineage: Eukaryota; Metazoa; Chordata; Mammalia; Rodentia; Echimyidae
Description: tRNA-Gly
Source: RNAcentral
ACUUUCUUAGUAUAAUUAGUACUGUUGACUUCCAAUCAACAAGACUCGUGUCAACCACGGGAGAAAGUA